This is a long non-coding RNA of Cygnus olor (mute swan), 3937 nucleotides long. RefSeq lists it as uncharacterized. The transcript has 9 exons. The record is from RefSeq and is a predicted model, not a curated record. NCBI's taxonomy places the organism in Eukaryota, Metazoa, Chordata, Aves, Anseriformes, Anatidae.
CGCGGCAUCGGCUGCGCCGCUCCCCUGCCCCUGUCCAAUUUUGGGUUCUUCUACGCUUUUUGGGACCUUCUGAUGAAAAUUGAGGUUGAGCAUCACUAGCAUGGCUCGCACCUGAGCUUCGUGGAGAAGGUCGAGGUGAGGACCUCCAGCACAGGUCCAAGCUGGUUUUUUUCUAGAAAAAUCUCAAGGCUGAGCACUGCUGGCUUGGAUGGAACCUGAGCACGGUGGGUUUGAGGGGGAAUUUUUUGGGUGAGCUUUGCUAAAAAAAUCUAGGUGGGCUUCCAUAGCACAUCUAGGUGAGCAUGGCCAGAAAAUCUGGGUGGGCUUUGCUAGCACACCUAGGUGGGCUUCCAUACCACAUCUAGGUGGGCUUCCCUAGCAUAUCUAGGUGGGCUUUGCUAGCACAUCUAGGGGAGCAUGGCCAGAAAACCUGGAUGAGCUUUGCUAGCACACCUAGGUGAGCUUCCAUAGCAUAUCGAGGUGAGCAUGGCCAGAAAAAUCUAGGUGAGCUUCCAUAGCACAUCUAGGUGAGCGUGGCUAGAAAAUCUGGGUGGGCUUUGCUAGCACACCUAGGUGGGCUUCCAUAGCAUGUCUAGGUGAGCAUGGCCAGAAAAUCUGGGUGGGCUUUGCUAGCACACCUAGGUGGGCUUCCAUAGCAUGUCUAGGUGAGCAUGGCCAGAAAAUCUGGGUGGGCUUUGCUAGCACACCUAGGUGGGCUUCCAUAGCACGUCUAGGUGAGCAUGGCCAGAAAACCUAGGUGAGCUUUCCUAACACGUCUAGGUGGGCUUUCCUAGCUCAUCUAGGUGAGCAAGGCAAGAAAACCUGGGUGGGCUUUGCUAACACAUCUUGAUGGGCUUCCCUAGCUCAUCUAGGGGAGCUCUGCUUGAGCAUCUGGUUGAGUAUUGCUAGAAAAUCGAGGUGAGCUUCCAUAGCACAUCUAGGUGGGCUUCCCUAGCUCAUCUAGGGGAGCAUGGCCAGAAAAAUCCAGGCGAGCAUGGCCAGCACACCUAGGUGGGCUUCCAUAGCACAUCUAGGCGAGCUUUGCUUGCACAUCCAGCUGAGCACGGCCAGAAAACCUAGCGGAGCUUUGCUAGCACAUCUUGGUGGGCUUCCAUAGCACAUCUUGGUGGGCUUCCCUAGCAUGUCGAGUUGAGCUUCCCUAGCACACCUUUGUGAGCACGGUCAGAAAAUCUGGGUGGGCUCUGCUAGCACAUCUAGGUGGGCUUCCAUAGCACGUCUAGGUGAGCAUGGCCAGAAAACCUAGGUGGGCUUCCAUAGCACAUCUAGGCGAGCUUUGCUUGCACAUCCAGCUGAGCAUGGUCAGAAAAUCUGGGUGGGCUUUGCUAGCACAUCUAGGUGGGCUUCCAUAGCACAUCUAGGUGAGCAUGGCCGGAAAACCUAGGUGGGCUUUGCUAGCACAUCUUGGUGGGCUUCCCUAGCUCAUCUAGGGGAGCUCUGCUUGAGCAUCUGGUUGAGUAUUGCUAGAAAAUCGAGGUGAGCUUCCAUAGCACAUCUAGGUGGGCUUCCCUAGCAAACCUAGGUGGGCAUGGCCAGCACAUCUCGGUGGGCUUCCCUAGCUCAUCUAGGGGAGCAUGGCCAGAAAAAUCUAGGCGAGCAUGGCCAGCACACCUAGGUGGGCUUCCAUAGCACGUCUAGGUGGGCUUCCUUGGCACAGCUAGCACAUCUAGGUGAGCACGGCCAGAAAACCUAGGUGAGCUUUGCUAGCACAUCGAGGUGGGCUUCCAUCGCUCACCUAGGUGGGCUUCCCUAGGACCUCUAGGGAAGCAUGGCCAGAAAACCUAGGUGGGCUUCCAUAGCACAUCUAGGCGAGCUUUGCUUGCACAUCCAGCUGAGCAUGGUCAGAAAAUCUGGGUGGGCUCUGCUAGCACAUCUAGGUGGGCUUCCAUAGCACGUCUAGGUGAGCAUGGCCAGAAAACCUAGGUGGGCUUUGCUAGCACAUCUUGGUGGGCUUCCCUAGCUCAUCUAGGGGAGCUCUGCUUGAGCAUCUGGUUGAGUAUUGCUAGAAAAUCGAGGUGAGCUUCCAUAGCACAUCUCGGUGGGCUUCCCUAGCAAACCUAGGUGGGCAUGGCCAGCACAUCUCGGUGGGCUUCCCUAGGACCUCUAGGGAAGCAUGGCCAGAAAACCUAGGUGGGCUUCCAUAGCACAUCUAGGCGAGCUUUGCUUGCACAUCCAGCUGAGCAUGGUCAGAAAAUCUGGGUGGGCUCUGCUAGCACAUCUAGGUGGGCUUCCAUAGCACGUCUAGGUGAGCAUGGCCAGAAAACCUAGGUGGGCUUUGCUAGCACAUCUUGGUGGGCUUCCCUAGCUCAUCUAGGGGAGCUCUGCUUGAGCAUCUGGUUGAGUAUUGCUAGAAAAUCGAGGUGAGCUUCCAUAGCACAUCUCGCUGAGCACGGCCAGAAAACCUAGCGGAGCUUUGCUAGCACAUCUUGGUGGGCUUCCAUAGCACAUCUUGGUGGGCUUCCCUAGCAUGUCGAGUUGAGCUUCCCUAGCACACCUUUGUGAGCACGGUCAGAAAAUCUGGGUGGGCUCUGCUAGCACAUCUAGGUGGGCUUCCAUAGCACAUCUCGGUGAGCAUGGCCAGAAAAUCUGCGUGGGCUUUCCUAGCACACCUAGGUGGGCUUCCAUAGUACGUCUAGGUGAGCAUGGCCAGAAAAAUCUAGGUGGGCAUGGCCAGCACAUCUCGGUGGGCUUCCCUAGCUCAUCUAAGGGAGCAUGGCCAGAAAAUCUGGGUGAGCUUCCCUAGCUCACCUAGGUGGGCUUCCCUAGCACAUCUAGGUGGACUUCCAUCUGACGUCUAGGUGGCCAUGGCUAGCAGGUCUAGGCGACCACCACCGUCAGAGCUCUACGCGUACGUAGCUUACGGACGUGACGCCAAGGUCCUGGAGAAGCUCGAUGCGCACGAGCGUUGCCGUCACAUCUGGGUGGCCAUGGCCAGAACAUCUCAGUGGCCACGGCCAUCAGAUCUCGGUGGCCAUCUUUGGAACCUGCAGGUGACCCUCGGUGGCACCUCUUGGUGGCCACCGUGACCUCCUCUUGGUGGCCACCACCAUGAGAACCUGUAGGUGACCACCAGCAUUGGUGGCCGUCAUUGGCAUGUCUUGGUGACUAUCACCAUUAAUACCUCUUGGUGGCCACCAACAUCACAUCCUGGUGACCACCAUGACCUCCAGGUGGCCACCAUCACCCCUUGGUGGCCACCAUGACCUCUUGGUGACCACCACCAUCACCUCCUAGUGGCCACCAGGAACUCCUGGUGGCCAACACCAUGACCUCCUGCUGGCCACCAUGACCUCCUGCUGGCCACCAUGACCUCCUGGUGACCACCACCAUCACCUCCUAGUGGCCACCAGGAACUCCUGGUGGCCAACACCACCACCUCUUGGUGACCACCACCAUCACCUCCUAGUGGCCACCAGGAACUCCUGGUGGCCAACACCACCACCUCCUGCUGGCCACCAUGACCUCCUGCUGGCCACCAUGACCUCUUGGUGACCACCACCAUCACCUCCUAGUGGCCACCAGGAACUCCUGGUGGCCAACACCACCACCUCCUGGUGGCCACCAUGACCUCUUGGUGACCACCACCAUCACCUCCUAGUGGCCACCAGGAACUCCUGGUGGCCAACACCACCACCUCCUGCUGGCCACCAUGACCUCCUGCUGGCCACCAUGACCUCUUGGUGACCGCCACCAGGAACUCCUGGUGGCCAACACCACCACCUCCUGGUGGCCACCAUGACCUCUUGGUGACCACCACCAUCACCUCCUAGUGGCCACCAGGAACUCCUGGUGGCCAACACCACCACCUCCUGCUGGCCACCAUCACCUCCUGCUGGCCACCAUCACCUCUUGGUGGCCACCGUGACCUCUUGGUGGCCCAUGGUGGCCCACCAAGGUGACCUCUUGGUGGCCCUCCUGC